Felis catus (domestic cat) is the source of this 4044-nucleotide long non-coding RNA. RefSeq lists it as uncharacterized. The record is from RefSeq and is a predicted model, not a curated record. Lineage: Eukaryota; Metazoa; Chordata; Mammalia; Carnivora; Felidae. The transcript has 6 exons.
GAGUGCUUACCGCCUCUUCCUAUCUGAUUCAGCCAUGUUCUGUCUUUGAGAUUUUUAGAUGCUGUGGAGCCAAAGAGAGGUCAUUAGGGCUGGGGUGUGGGGGCACAGAACUUGGCCCCACAUUCUCAUCAGACCUCAGCCUCCCAGGGGAGAAGCCACAGGGACAGGUCCUGCCGGUUCCAAUCUCUCAACUCAGCCAAGCUGACAAAGAGAAGUGUGGACGUGCCUUAGCCAAUGGGGAAAGGCCCUGCAGUCCCACCCCUUCUACCCAUGCUGGCCUUGGGACCCCUGGACCAGGUCCUUCCUGGGUCCUUCUGACUUUCUCCACUGUCCAAAGUGGAGAUGCCCACAGCCUCCCCUCAGUGGCUCCACUCUCACAUAUGUGGGUAUUAUUGCUUUUAGUCUAACCUCUUGCUGCUGACUUAAAUUCCGAUUUUCCAGGGCCUUUUCCUUUUACAUACACACACACACACACACACACACACACACACACACACACACACAAACACACACACAAUAUGAGGUCCUAAGAAUUCAUUUAGUCCAUUCUUCUAACUCAGAACCAAGUCUACCCGCUUACCUUUCCUGAAAAUUCCCCUGUGUAUUCCCAUUUUCCACCCGAAUGACCACACAAAUGUAACCCUUGAGUUUCCCCAUCCUGGAAGUCCCCCUUGUUCUCUAGCCAAAUUCCCUCUAGCAGUUGCACAAGUUGACAUCCCUAGCCCUGACUGCAGACACCCUCCAGCCCCAGCCCCAGCUUCUCAAGAGGGAACUCCAAGGGGAGAAACCACUCCAGCAAAGCCAGCAAUCAAGCCCUUAUCUCUGAUAUUCUCCCUUCUGCUUUGGUCCAGUGUCUGCUUUCCAUGGUCUCCUUAUCCUCCAGCCAGCACUCCAUUGACAGCCCAGCCAACCUCUGCUGCGCUGCUGGUCCUCCCAACAGUCAAUUUACAAGUCUCUCUGCAGGGAGAAGGCUUCCUGGUCAGAAGCUGUCCAUAAGGAGCAAACUCUUCCACUGCUGCCCCCCAAGGCUGAGGUUCAGACUCCACCUGCAGACUCCACCCUGCAGACUCAAGUGGGUCAGUGUAAUGAGUCCUUCCUUCAGAGAGAGAGGAGAUGUACCCCUGGACAUUGGAGACAACUGCCUUUAUUCCUUUCCUGUGUGUACUGUCAAGAUCAGGAUGAGUGCUGUCUGUUUGCUCUGGCUAAGCCUACAGCCCAGGAUGGAAACUCUGAACUCAUGAAGUGUGAGCCUGAAAGACAGCAAGUUGGAGCCAUGGAAACCCUACCAAGUGUGAGGUGCCUUGAUGUGCCAUGGAGAAAAAGUCACAGUCCCAGAGCUGGAUGGCUUACAUGCCACAUACAGAAGCUGCACACGUUACCUCACUCUGAAAUGAAGGCAUGGCCAAGGUGGUCAAGGGAAGGAACCCUGAAAGGGAUCAGCCUCCUCAAGUCAGGUCACAGCAAGCCAUCACCCCGACUCCUCCUCCCCCUCUUCAGGAAAUUCAGAAUCCAUGGAAGGAAUCUGAAGCGGAAGAGGAUGUGGAACUCAAUGACCUUAAAAAAAAAAAAACAGCCUUCAGCACCUCUCCACAACCACCAUCCCCUCCUCUCCAAUUCUGCAGGAAAAAAUCAUAAGGUGACAUUUAUUGACUAUUUACCAUCUGCUGGUCACUAUGCUAAGUCCUUUUCAUGAAUUAUUUUCUACUACCUCUUCCUCUCAAUAUCUCCCAAUUCACAAAUGAGGAAACUGAGGUUCAGGGAAAGAAAAAUGACCACCCCAAAGUCACACAGCUAGAAAGAGGCCAAGCUGGGCCUGGAAUCCAGGCUUGACUUCUUUAACCACUGCACCAAAAGACCUCCCCCCAGCCCCUGGCUGACUGGUCAGGAUCAGCUACAGAAUUUGAGAGGAAGGGAUGACAGAAGGCAUUGGGCAUGCUGGGGAGGACAGCAGGGGGGGGGGCACCAGAGGUAGGACUGGUGUAGCUGGAAUGAAACUCUGAAGUCACAUUCCCCUCCCAAGUCUGGCCCUUCCUCCCCAGAGGGCCUGGGAAGGGGACACUCCCUCUGGCUCAGGUCUCUCCAACAUUCCAGACACACCUCUUGGGAGCUGGGGACAAGGAGGGGUUGGAGACCUGAGAUGGACCAGCCUUCUACCCCCACCUCCCCAGAGUCCUGGCUGUGUGACCCUGCAUUUGCCACCCACCCUCUCUGGGCCAUGGUCUCCUCAACUAUGAAGUGGCUGGGGAGCACCAGCUCAAUCUCUAAAGACCACAUUUCUCCUGCCAGACCCAGGGAUCCUCUGGCUGCCCUGGGGUUAACUCUGCAGGAGGGCUAGGCUUGGGGCCCGCCUUCCCUUUUAUUCCCAGUGAAACCUGAGGAGGAUCUGGUGAGGCAGGGAAGUAGAAGGUGAGAAGUAGAAGGUGAGAAGGGGCACAGAAUUUCUUGACAGAGCUUCCAGGGCUCAGGUGUGCCAAGUCCAUUGCCUCUCUGGGCAGUCAGGACACCAGCAUCGGUCCAACCCCAGGCUUACGGACAAUGGAGGUGUCUCAGACUGAAGAAGUGAGAAGAGCGGAGGGAGACAGGGAUGAAUGCAGUCCUGGGUUCAGACAACUAACUGCAGAAGAUGGUGGAAGGGUGGGGAAGAGCAGGGGUGACUUUCUAGAGAAGACACUUAGAGAAGACCAGGAGGAUUUCAGUGAAUGAGCACUUUGGAGCAAGGGUCCAAAGGUAGGAAGGCGCAGAAGUACACAAAGUAGUCUGGGGUGAUGCAGCACUGUGAGGGGAGCACUAUGAGGGCAUAGGAAGGGACCAUGGGCCAGGUCCUGGGAAGCUGAGUGCAGGAGGGAGGGUUUGGGAUUGUGUCUGAAUUAUCGGGCAGAGCCUUGGAACGAAGCCCUCUUUUAACGGUGGUGCCAGAAAGAUCCCUGUGGUCCUGUAUAGUCUGGCUGAGGCCAGCCUGGAGGCAGGGAGGCUGCUAAGGGGGCUGUGGCCAAGGUCUGGUGGAGGUAACAGAGCCUAAAUAGCUGAGAGCUAUAGAGGACUAUACAGGUGACUAGUCUGGUUGGCCUCCUCCAGCAACAGGGAGCUCACUACUUCUUGAAUAGCAAUCCUCCCCUUUGGGCAGCUCUGCCUGGGAGAAAGUUCUUUCCUAGGCCAGGUUCAAGCCUGCCUUCCUGGGAUGAUGUGUGGGUGCAGGGAUCAGGAAGAAGAUGCCACUCAUUGUGUAGGAAGAUGGAAGCUUGGGAGAAAGUGUGGGGCCACUGAGUUCAAGCUGAGAAGCUUGGUGAAGAGGCUCACUCACCUGUCUGUGGGACUUACUCUUGCCCCUCAAGCAGGGCCCGAGUACUGCCCCUAGGGUGCCCUGGCCCAGCUGGGCACCCUGGGUAUUUGUGGUUGGACACAAUGAAGCUCCUUAGCUGGCCCCAGGACAACAGCAGAGAAAACAGAGAGAAAUUUCCACAAUUGGCAGUUUUAGGCACACAUUUUAUUGUUUUAUAUAUAUAUAUAUAUAUAAAAGGCAAAAGAGUACAUGUGUUGAGUGGAGAAUUAAAGGGGUGAAGACCCUAUUUUAAGUAGAGUCUCCCAACCCCCAUCCUUAAAACUGUAACAUCUACUAUGUAUAUUUUUUAAAAAACCAAAAAACAUGAAACUUAUACCUGGACUUCACCCCACCACCACACAUGCCUACAUUAUGACAGAAAUACAUCCUCUGCUCCUACUUAUGUACAGCCAGAGCUCCACACCUGGGCUGGGGUCUCCUCCUCCCGGUCCUACCUCCAUAUUCCCACCCUACCUCCCCCAAAGCCUGUAGAAACCCCCUGCUAGAAAAAGGGUGCACGCGCGUGCACACACACACACACACACACACACUCAGAAACACAUAUCUGGACCCUCCUCCACAUGGAGCCCCCAAAACAUGCAGACCCCUGGCACUUUCCUCACUCACAGAGGGGACAUACCACAGAUGGACCUUUCCCUAGGCUCCCCCCACAGCUAGAAUCCUUUCCACUUGGUCCCUUGCCCUGAUAUCUAGGAAACCACACA